This is a non-coding RNA of Oryzias latipes (Japanese medaka), 346 nucleotides long. NCBI's taxonomy places the organism in Eukaryota, Metazoa, Chordata, Actinopteri, Beloniformes, Adrianichthyidae. The record is from RefSeq and is a predicted model, not a curated record.
CUCUCCACCGUCUUCUUGGCCCGCUUCCCCUGGAGGACGUCGCCCCCCCCGGCUGCAGCAGAGCAGACGUUCAGCAGCAGGUACGCAGGGUAGAAUGACAGGACCGGCUGCAGAACCCAGUUCUCCCGUUGGCGGGUCAGUUAAGGCGGAACCUUAAACACCUCUGAUCCGGACCCAGAAGACACGGAUGUAAAGAACUGGAGGAUUUAGACGGAUCAGUCGUGAUUUUCACUAACAUCAGUCCGGACGAUCCUUUAUUCCAGGAUCCGUAGUUUUAGGAGGACGAACUCUGCAGUCCGGACCAUCGUUGAUGUUUUUAUGCAUUAAAGUUCAUCUGUUGAUCCGA